RNAcentral lists this ribosomal RNA (485 nucleotides) under uncultured bacterium. RNAcentral describes it as "bacterial SSU rRNA". It matches the Rfam family "Bacterial small subunit ribosomal RNA", at positions 28 to 512 of the family's 1533-position model. The record is from RNAcentral.
GAUGAACGCUAGCGGCAGGCCUAACACAUGCAAGUCGAGGGGCAGCGAGGGUAGCAAUGCCUGUCGGCGACCGGCGCACGGGUGAGUAACGCGUAUGCAACCUGCCCCCGUCUGGGGAAUAGCCCGUCGAAAGGCGGAUUAACGCCCCAUAGUUCUCCUUGCCGGCAUCGGCGAGGAGGUAAAGGUUACGGACGGGGAUGGGCAUGCGUGCCAUUAGCUUGUUGGCGGGGUAACGCCCACCAAGGCUACGAUGGCUAGGGGAGCUGAGAGGCUGAACCCCCCANACUGGUACUGAGACACGGACCAGACUCCUACGGGAGGCAGCAGUGAGGAAUAUUGGUCAAUGGGCGAGAGCCUGAACCAGCCAUGCCGCGUGCAGGAGACGGCCCUACGGGUUGUAAACUGCUUUUCUGCGGGAAGACGGCCCCGAGCGAUCGGGGUNUAGCGGUACCGCAGGAAUAAGGAUCGGCUAACUCCGUGCCAGC